AGAGCCAAGGGCCAGCGCCUGCGCCCUGACCUCCCCACCGCAAACCUGCGGCUGCUGCCCUUCUCCUCCAGCUGACUCAAGAGCAUCCUGGGAGAUAGAGAAUAAUCAAAGGAAAAAAGAGGAGAGAACAGAGCAGAUAUGAAAGUGGAAAAGAAAUAGAAGGGCAAGGAGGAAGAGACAGAAAGAAGGAGGCAGGAGGAGCAAAAGAGAAAAACAGGAGUGUACAGUGUUGGGAAAAAAAAGAUGUCUACCCUGCCUCUCUGGUGAGUGUCAUGUCUGAGGCAAGAACGUCCAACAUGCCCGUGAACGUGUUUGGUGGCUGAAGGUAUGCUGAUUCCAGUGUAUGCUACUGUGCCAUGCUGAAGAGCGUGAUAGACCUGGGACUGCUGCAGGGC
This 395-nucleotide long non-coding RNA is filed under the name Apteryx owenii (little spotted kiwi). RNAcentral's name for it is "lncRNA (ENSAOWG00000004913.1)". The record is from RNAcentral. Lineage: Eukaryota; Metazoa; Chordata; Aves; Apterygiformes; Apterygidae.